Molecule: unclassified non-coding RNA, 359 nt
Filed under: Coprinellus disseminatus
Lineage: Eukaryota; Fungi; Basidiomycota; Agaricomycetes; Agaricales; Psathyrellaceae
Description: partial internal transcribed spacer region
Rfam family: Eukaryotic small subunit ribosomal RNA (bases 1-46)
Source: RNAcentral
AAGUCGUAACAAGGUUUCCGUAGGUGAACCUGCGGAAGGAUCAUUAACGAAUAACUAUGGUGUCUUGGCUGUCGCUGGCUCCUCGGAGCAUCGUGCACGCCCGCCAUUUUUAUCUAUCCACCUGUGCACCGAAUGUAGGUCUGGAUGACUCUCGUCUCCGGGCGGAUGCGAGGUUUGCGUGUGCGUAGCGUAGCGUGUUCGCGUUCGCGCGUGCGUUGCGUUGCGUACGGGCUCACCUCGAAUUUCCAGACUCUACGUCUUUUUACACACCCCAAACGUAUGAUGCAGAAUGUAGUCAAUGGGCCUUUAAAAGCCUAUAAAACACUAUACAACUUUCAGCAACGGAUCUCUUGGCUCUC